UUUUAGUCUGGUUUCGAAAAAAAAGGAAAGAAAUCCUCUGAAAGAGGAUUUGAGGUUCAGUCCAAGGGUUCUGUCUCCGUUCCUAAUUUUCUCACACGCUCACGCGCCACCACGCACGGUGGUCAGAGGGUUAAAACCUUCGUCUUUUCAAGGCGAAAACUCAGGCGAGUGAAGAAAUCUUGACGGAGGAUGCGCCAAUUAUGGAGCGAUGUGGGACCGGAGUCGCGACGUUGAUGAUGUAGAUCUAUCAGUGGCGUCGAUCACGGAGUGAUUCGAGGCCAAAGCUACGGCACCAGUGGAGGAUUACUGGAACGGCGCUAUACGAACCAACGCAUUAAUUGCAGCACAAAACAAGGCUGAUGUUGGCAUGAUGACCGAUCCUUGCGAGACGAACAGUCACGCCUGUUGGUGCUUGCGGCGCCUAGGGUUUCUGAAACCUCAGGCCUUUCCAGAUCCUGUUAACCAUUUGGGCCAUUUGGGCUCUGUGUACUAAAUAAGUCUGUUGGGUAGGUUUAGGCCUGGUACGAGCUAAGUCUAGGUGGGUUAUUGGGUUUUAACAUUUGUAAAAUGACUAUUUAAAAAAACUUAUAUUAUUAUUA
Molecule: long non-coding RNA, 599 nt
Organism: Gossypium arboreum
Lineage: Eukaryota; Viridiplantae; Streptophyta; Magnoliopsida; Malvales; Malvaceae
Exons: 2
Source: RefSeq, a predicted model, not a curated record